AUGCACGCUGGCGGCGUGCCUCAUACAUGCAGGUCGAGCGAACAGACGAGGAGCUUGCUCCUCUGACGUUAGCGGCGGACGGGUGAGUAACACGUGGAUAACCUACCUAUAAGACUGGGAUAACUUCGGGAAACCGGAGCUAAUACCGGAUAAUAUAUUGAACCGCAUGGUUCAAUAGUGAAAGACGGUUUUGCUGUCACUUAUAGAUGGAUCCGCGCCGCAUUAGCUAGUUGGUAAGGUAACGGCUUACCAAGGCAACGAUGCGUAGCCGACCUGAGAGGGUGAUCGGCCACACUGGAACUGAGACACGGUCCAGACUCCUACGGGAGGCAGCAGUAGGGAAUCUUCCGCAAUGGGCGAAAGCUUGACGGAGCAACGCCGCGUGAGUGAUGAAGGUCUUCGGAUCGUAAAACUCUGUUAUUAGGGAAGAACAAAUGUGUAAGUAACUAUGCACGUCUUGACGGUACCUAAUCAGAAAGCCACGGCUAACUACGUG
Molecule: ribosomal RNA, 496 nt
Filed under: uncultured bacterium
Lineage: Bacteria
Description: partial 16S ribosomal RNA
Rfam family: Bacterial small subunit ribosomal RNA
Source: RNAcentral